This 669-nucleotide ribosomal RNA is filed under the name uncultured Bacteroidales bacterium. Its description in RNAcentral is "bacterial SSU rRNA". It matches the Rfam family "Bacterial small subunit ribosomal RNA", at positions 68 to 728 of the family's 1533-position model. The record is from RNAcentral. Lineage: Bacteria; Pseudomonadati; Bacteroidota; Bacteroidia; Bacteroidales.
CAGCAUGGUCUUAGCUUGCUAAGACUGAUGGCGACCGGCGCACGGGUGAGUAACACGUAUCCAACCUGCCGUCUACUCUUGGACAGCCUUCUGAAAGGAAGAUUAAUACAAGAUGGCAUCAUGAGUCCACAUGUUCACAUGAUUAAAGGUAUUCCGGUAGACGAUGGGGAUGCGUUCCAUUAGAUAGUAGGCGGGGUAACGGCCCACCUAGUCUUCGAUGGAUAGGGGUUCUGAGAGGAAGGUCCCCCACAUUGGAACUGAGACACGGUCCAAACUCCUACGGGAGGCAGCAGUGAGGAAUAUUGGUCAAUGGGCGAGAGCCUGAACCAGCCAAGUAGCGUGAAGGAUGACUGCCCUAUGGGUUGUAAACUUCUUUUAUAAAGGAAUAAAGUCGGGUAUGCAUACCCGUUUGCAUGUACUUUAUGAAUAAGGAUCGGCUAACUCCGUGCCAGCAGCCGCGGUAAUACGGAGGAUCCGAGCGUUAUCCGGAUUUAUUGGGUUUAAAGGGAGCGUAGAUGGAUGUUUAAGUCAGUUGUGAAAGUUUGUGGCUCAACCGUAAAAUUGCAGUUGAUACUGGAUAUCUUGAGUGCAGUUGAGGCAGGCGGAAUUCGUGGUGUAGCGGUGAAAUGCUUAGAUAUCACGAAGAACUCCGAUUGCGAAGGCAGCCUG